RNAcentral lists this unclassified non-coding RNA (425 nucleotides) under Hevea brasiliensis (rubber tree). Lineage: Eukaryota; Viridiplantae; Streptophyta; Magnoliopsida; Malpighiales; Euphorbiaceae. The record is from RNAcentral.
AUAUAUCAGCUCUCCUAUCUACAAUAAGUUUACCUCAAUUUUUUCCAAUAUUGAUCAGAAGGGAGGUAAAAACUUUCUUUAUGGCUAUUAUAACUAGUAAUUAACAUGCAUCAUAGCAUCAAUAUGACACAACUGGUAUAUAUAGCCAAAAGAAUUAAGACAUAAAAUUCAAAGUCCAGGCUUGUCUAUAAGAUUUUGCUCCAAAAAAGAUGUCAUAGGAACAAGUCUCACUUGUUUCAACUAGUCUGCAUGCUGUUGCACCAUCAAAACUCCAUACACCUUAGCUUCUGCGAGAGAAAUCUCUCGUAUUCUCCGGAAGGAAGCGAAAUGGAGGAACUUUUUUUAGAGCGUGUGUUGUAGGAGGGAGAAGAGCAGAAGGGUAUUAAAAAAAAAAAAAAAACAACAAACAAAAAAAAAAAAAAAAA